AACGAACGCUGGCGGCAUGCCUAACACAUGCAAGUCGAACGAGACCUUCGGGUCUAGUGGCGCACGGGUGCGUAACGCGUGGGAACCUGCCCUUAGGUUCGGAAUAACUCCCCGAAAGGGGUGCUAAUACCGGAUAAUGUCUUCGGACCAAAGAUUUAUCGCCUUUGGAUGGGCCCGCGUUGGAUUAGCUAGUUGGUAGGGUAAAAGCCUACCAAGGCGACGAUCCAUAGCUGGUCUGAGAGGAUGAUCAGCCACACUGGGACUGAGACACGGCCCAGACUCCUACGGGAGGUAGCAGUGGGGAAUAUUGGACAAUGGGCGGAAGCCUGAUCCAGCAAUGCCGCGUGAGUGAUGAAGGCCUUAGGGUUGUAAAGCUCUUUUACCCGGGAUGAUAAUGACAGUACCGGGAGAAUAAGCUCCGGCUAACUCCGUG
This 433-nucleotide ribosomal RNA is filed under the name uncultured bacterium. RNAcentral's name for it is "partial 16S ribosomal RNA". It matches the Rfam family "Bacterial small subunit ribosomal RNA", at positions 29 to 507 of the family's 1533-position model. The record is from RNAcentral.